RNAcentral lists this unclassified non-coding RNA (362 nucleotides) under fungal sp. Its description in RNAcentral is "partial internal transcribed spacer region". The stretch from base 1 to 46 matches the Rfam family "Eukaryotic small subunit ribosomal RNA", at positions 1786 to 1831 of the family's 1831-position model. Lineage: Eukaryota; Fungi. The record is from RNAcentral.
AAGUCGUAAUAAGGUUUCCGUAGGUGAACCUGCGGAAUGAUCAUUAACACGUAUCCAAACGUUAAAACAACCCUGUGAACCUUCAGCGUGUUCUUGCAGGACAUCAAAACAGCAAUCCCGAGUAAAUCAGGCGCUAAAGAAUUACAGAUUUUGAUUUUGGGAAGUUCUGUGUGUACGUGGACGCUGCAAUUGAGUGCUAGAUAAAGCACCCUGGUACCCUCUGUCUGAAAGCGUCAGGGCUCAAUGUUCAGGGUGGCGCAGUCAACGAUCGCUGUAGGCGUGGAGGCGAAAGCCCCUACGUCAUCCCUAUGUACCCUCCGUCAUAAAUCGAACAACUGUUAACAAUGGAUAUCUUGGUUCUC